Molecule: ribosomal RNA, 425 nt
Filed under: uncultured bacterium
Lineage: Bacteria
Description: bacterial SSU rRNA
Rfam family: Bacterial small subunit ribosomal RNA
Source: RNAcentral
GGGGAAUAUUGCACAAUGGGCGCAAGCCUGAUGCAGCCAUGCCGCGUGUAUGAAGAGGGCCUUCGGGUUGUAAAGUACUUUCAGCGGGGAGGAAGGCGACAGGGUUAAUAACCCUGUCGAUUGACGUUACCCGCAGAAGAAGCACCGGCUAACUCCGUGCCAGCAGCCGCGGUAAUACGGAGGGUGCAAGCGUUAAUCGGAAUUACUGGGCGUAGAGCGCACGCAGGCGGUCUGUCAAGUCGGAUGUGAAAUCCCCGGGCUCAACCUGGGAACUGCAUUCGAAACUGGCAGGCUAGAGUCUUGUAGAGGGGGGUAGAAUUCCAGGUGUAGCGGUGAAAUGCGUAGAGAUCUGGAGGAAUACCGGUGGCGAAGGCGGCCCCCUGGACAAAGACUGACGCUCAGGUGCGAAAGCGUGGGGAGCAAAC